RNAcentral lists this long non-coding RNA (428 nucleotides) under Pan troglodytes (chimpanzee). Its description in RNAcentral is "long non-coding RNA NONPTRT017506". The record is from RNAcentral. Lineage: Eukaryota; Metazoa; Chordata; Mammalia; Primates; Hominidae.
AUCAUGAGGGUAACCAACCGAUACUCUGUAGUGUACUGUGUUGCCAGGUGAUUUUGCUCAACUAUAGGCCAAUGCAAGUGUUCUUUCUGAGUGCAUUUAAGGAAGGGUAGGCUAAGCAACAAUGUUCAGAAGAUUAGGUGUAUUAAAUGCAUUUUGAAUUUACAGUGGGUUUAACAGUCUCCUGCCUCAGCCUCCCGAGUAGCUGGGAUUACAGGCAUGUGCCACCAUGCCCGGCUAAUUUUUGUAUUUUUAGUAGAGAUGGGGUUUCACCAUAUUUGCCAGGAUGGAAGCCUGUCAAUUUUGGCAAAGAAGUCUGCUAGGAUUUUGGUAGGGAUUUCCUUAACUAUAGACAAAUUUGGAAAGAAUUGCUAUCUUAACAAUAUUGAGUCUUAUAAUCCAUGAACAUGGAAUAUCUUUCUAUUUAUAUA